Long non-coding RNA from Alosa alosa (allis shad), 734 nucleotides. RefSeq lists it as uncharacterized. The transcript has 4 exons. Lineage: Eukaryota; Metazoa; Chordata; Actinopteri; Clupeiformes; Clupeidae. The record is from RefSeq and is a predicted model, not a curated record.
UGAGCCUAAUAGUAACUUUCAAUGUUUGUUUUUUUUGGAUGUCAUGAUGAAAAAAUGUAGUUGAAUCUUUUCCCCUUUUUCACAAAAGCGGUUGCCACAUCAGUAUCUGAGGUUUAACCAUCUUUUGGAUUGCAUUGUGCUUGUGUUAAAAGUGUUUACAGAAGGGUAUAGCCUUUAUUUUGCAGACGCUGAACACAUCGCAGACUUUUCUUUCCGUGCAGCAUAGUAUACCACGGUGCUGUUACCCCAGUUGUAACCGCUAAUAACAACAGGCUACAACAGGCUUCCAAGGUGUAGGAAGAAAGACUGAAACAAUCGAGUUCAGGACUAGAUUGUCUGUGGAGGUCUCUAAGCAAGACAAACGCGAGCUGAUGAUCCCGGAGGAGGCCUUCUCCGUUGGCGAUAGGAGAUGCGGAUGAAACAAGCGAUAAGACAGAAGAACUUUCAGGCCCCGGACUGAUUGCUGCUAUUCACCACUGGCAAUGCUCGUCAUAAAGUUACAUUUUACGCGUUAAGUCUCCCUGUUUUACUUUUUUGGUUGAAGCACUACGUCUCAGCACAAGUCCACAGACCAAUGGCGUUUCUAAUAAAGAAGAAGAAAUUUAAGUUUCAGACGCAUUUCACGCUCGAAGAACUGACAGCCGUGCCUUUUGUGAACGGAGUUCUAUUCUGCAAAAUCAGACUGCUGGAUGGUGGAGACUUUGCCAAAUCGUCCUCAAGGGAGGAGGUGCAGG